AGUGGAGUUUCUGGAUAAAAGAUGUAGCAUGACAUUUUUAUGCUAUAGAAACUCAAGAAGUUCAUUUAAAAAAUACCUCCACAAAGUCUAUGAUGCCAUUGCAACAGCUGCCCCACAAAGCUAGGCCACGCCCCCAUGAAACAGCAGUGGUUUCUCCCAUUUCAGUGGUGGAGCCUGAGAAGGACCUUCCUGACUCAUGACAAGUGCCUGCUUUCUUUCUGGCUCUCUGGGCCCAAAUCUGAGCAGCUGAGUUGGCAGGUGGAUGUGAACAGCCUGAGAAACUUCUUCUGAAUCAGACCUCCCAGUCAGACUCCCAACUCACAGACUACAAUAAAGUGAGUUUAUUGGUAAGGAUAGCUAGAUUUCAGAAUCUCUGGUAGAGAGGCAGUGGUUGUAGCUCUGCCUGUCAUAGCUCUGUCCCAUCGGCUGGCUCUGCAGCACUUCUGCUGAUUCAAAGUCUGCCAAGUAGACUUUAUUCCAAAAUGUAUCAGAGAGAAAAAGCCCCACAUAAUUCAGACAAAACAGCAAAACCUAAUUUUACAUUUUAACAACAGUGGGUUUCAUAUAUACAUUGACAAACAGCCACAACAACCGAAUUAUGAGAGCAGAGUGUUUGCCUCACCCUUCAUCUCACUGUUUCCUUCACAACCACUCUCCCCAAUCCAAUCUACACAAAUCCUGUAUGUCUAGGUUAGCACUGCCUUUGCUAGAAUUUAGUAUGAUUAAGUUUAUCUAAUACUUGCAAAACUUCUGUCCCACUGCUGAACUUCUGAAUUGAGGAUAAUGAUGUUCUCUGGUAAGGCUUUUCCUGGUUUCUGACUGUGGCUAGUGUCAGCUGCUGUCCUUCUCCAGCUCUGCGUGCCUGGGCCAAGCCCCAGAUAUGUUAACACAGGACCAUCUUGGGGAGUUAGAUCUUGCCCUGGACACAGACUUUGGCCAGGCAGCCAGUAAUGGUGCAGGGAUGAGAUCAGCUUUUGUAAUUUAUUUAAGAAAACUUUUAUUCAACCUAACCUGUCAAGUGUAUUAUCAUAAAGUAAUUAAUAUUCCACUUAACACAAUAGAUGCUGUAACAUGUGAUGCAGUUUCUGUCAGUCUUCAUCACUUCCAUUUUAACUGCUGUAAAUGUUUUAUUGAAUUAACACAUUUCCAUUUAGUGGCAUCAAUCUGCUCAUGUCAUUGGUUCCUUGUGAUUGUCACCCCCUUCCUUCCACGAAGCUUAAUGCUGUACACAUAAAUGUGCUCUACUGACAUGUUUGUUUCUACCUAACAACUCAGGCAUCACCCCAAAGUCUUCUGAUGUGCUGUGAACCUUCAAGUUUCCCUCAAUACCCUAGCUUAGCUACCUCAUACAGUUUUAUGUUUUUCUUCCCCUUAAAGUUUUGGAUUCAAAGUAUUUUAUUAUUUCUCUCUUUUGUUGCUUCUUUAGGAACAUCAAUACACACUUUGAAAUGUGUGGUUUAUUUCUGAAUAUUUGGAAUUUUAUGAUAUACUUCAGUUUCUGGUUUCCGGUUGUCAUCAGAGAGCAUAGGUGUUAUAGUCUAACCUCUCAUAUUCACAGUUAGGCGACUCAUUUUACUUCUGAGCAGGUAGCUUAUCCCACUUGGUAUUUUAGAUGUGUUUGGAGAACAUAGGUUUUGUUUAUUUGAGUUGAUUGAAAUUUUGUUCUAGGAAACUGUCUGUACAUUUUCUAACAUCUAUGACUACUGAGAUACAUGGCUCUACCAUCUAGGCUCUAGUUACUUCUCUGUAGACACUGGAAGCUCUAUGCUCAGGUGCACAAACAGUUGGAAAUGGGAUAUUCCUCUGACUCCUUUGGAAAUAUGCAUUUUCUCAUCCAUCAGUGGGCUCACCUGAGAGCCUAUUUGACUGACAGACAGUCAUCCAGCCUUUCACUGUAUACAUAUUUAUGAUCAUUUUCCCUUAGCCUUUCUGUGUCUCUAUUUCAAGUUCAUUUCCUAUGGCCUAUCCUUGAGUGUUGUUUCUCUGUAUAAACCACAAUGUCACUUUCCAGUGAUCACUUCUCCAUUUGCAUUUACCGAGCACUGUAACAACACAGGUUCAUGUUCCCCAUCUGUAUCACUGAAUCUUCUUCCCUGUGCCUUGCAUUCUUUGGUGUUACAGAUUUGUAAUAUUUCCUUGUGUCGGAUUAUUAAUUAUACUCUCACUUCAUUUUUUUGGACUAACUGCCAUAGGCCUUCAAAUAUGCAUGUUCUAUUAAAUUCUAAUUUCAUAUAAUUGUAGGCUGCUCACUGUGUAACGGUACACUUAUAACACAAUGUCAGUGUCCUCUGACUUGUUUGCUUUGUUACAUAUUUUAUUUUCACGUUAUAGAAUUAAUAGUCAUUUGUUCAUACAGUCUCAAUAUUUAAAAAAAAAAAAAAAAAAAAAAAAAAAAAAAGACAGUUCACCGGUCUCAAACACCCAGGAUUAUAGAUAUGGGCCACCAAACUCAAUACUUUGUUUUUUGAGAACUUUUUCACCAGUUAUAAAUUGUUGGUUGGGAGUUGCAAUUAGUUUGUUUGUGUAUUUGCUUUUAUCUAU
RNAcentral lists this long non-coding RNA (2541 nucleotides) under Mus musculus (house mouse). RNAcentral's name for it is "long non-coding RNA chr2:21880329-21882870". Lineage: Eukaryota; Metazoa; Chordata; Mammalia; Rodentia; Muridae. The record is from RNAcentral.